Molecule: long non-coding RNA, 381 nt
Filed under: Salmo salar (Atlantic salmon)
Lineage: Eukaryota; Metazoa; Chordata; Actinopteri; Salmoniformes; Salmonidae
Description: lncRNA (ENSSSAG00000093238.1)
Source: RNAcentral
GGGUGUUACGGUACAGAGUCAAUGUGGAGGCUAUAUACAGGGGGUACCAGUACAGAGUCAAUGUGGAGGCUAUAUACAGGGGGUACCAGUACAGAGUCAAUGUGGAGGCUAUAUACAGGGGGGUACCAGUACAGAGUCAAUGUGGAGGCUAUAUACAGGGGGUACCAGUACAGAGUCAAUGUGGAGGCUAUAUACAGGGUGUUACGGUACAGAGUCAAUGUGGAGGCUAUAUACAGGGGGUACCAGUACAGAGUCAAUGUGGAGGCUAUAUACAGGGUGUUACGGUACAGAGUCAAUGUGGAGGCUAUAUACAGGGGGCACCAGUACAGAGUCAGUGUGGAGACUAUAUACAGGGGGUACCGGUACAGAGUCAGUGUGGAG